AUUGAACGCUGGCGGCAGGCCUAACACAUGCAAGUCGAGCGAGCGGCGGACGGGUGAGUAAUGUAUGGGGAACUGCACGAUGGAGGGGGAUAACUACUGGAAACGGUAGCUAAUACCGCAUACUAUCGGAUGAACCCAGAUGGGAUUAGCUAGUAGGUGGGGUAACGGCUCACCUAGGCGACGAUCUCUAGCUGGUCUGAGAGGAUGAACAGCCACACUGGAACUGAGACACGGCCCAGACUCCUACGGGAGGCAGCAGUGGGGAAUAUUGCACAAUGGGCGAAAGCCUGAUGCAGCCAUGCCGCGUGUAUGAAGAAGGCCUUAGGGUUGUAAAGUACUUUCAGCGGGGAGGCGUUACCCGCAGAAGAAGCACCGGCUAACUCCGUGCCAGCCGCCGCGGUAAUAC
Molecule: ribosomal RNA, 406 nt
Filed under: uncultured bacterium
Lineage: Bacteria
Description: partial 16S ribosomal RNA
Rfam family: Bacterial small subunit ribosomal RNA
Source: RNAcentral